AGUGAACGCUGGCGGUAGGCCUAACACGUGCAAGUCGAACGGCAGCACAGUAAGAGCUUGCUCUUACGGGUGGCGAGUGGCGGACGGGUGAGGAAUACAUCGGAAUCUACUUUUUCGUGGGGGAUAACGUAGGGAAACUUACGCUAAUACCGCAUACGACCUACGGGUGAAAGCAGGGGAUCUUCGGACCUUGCGCGAUUGAAUGAGCCGAUGUCGGAUUAGCUAGUUGGCGGGGUAAAGGCCCACCAAGGCGACGAUCCGUAGCUGGUCUGAGAGGAUGAUCAGCCACACUGGAACUGAGACACGGUCCAGACUCCUACGGGAGGCAGCAGUGGGGAAUAUUGGACAAUGGGCGCAAGCCUGAUCCAGCCAUACCGCGUGGGUGAAGAAGGCCUUCGGGUUGUAAAGCCCUUUUGUUGGGAAAGAAAAGCAGCAGGUUAAUACCCCGCUGUUCUGACGGUACCCAAAGAAUAAGCACCGGCGAACUUCGU
RNAcentral lists this ribosomal RNA (491 nucleotides) under uncultured bacterium. RNAcentral's name for it is "partial 16S ribosomal RNA". It matches the Rfam family "Bacterial small subunit ribosomal RNA", at positions 29 to 506 of the family's 1533-position model. The record is from RNAcentral.